GUUUAAACGUUCUUUUAAAAAUUUUACCAUCUUUAAUAACAAUAAAGAGAUGGUGAAUAUAUUGCUAUUCAUCAUCAUAUAAUCUAAUGUAUUACUCUAGUAAAUAUAGCAAAUAACUAAUGAAAGUGUUUCGGAAAGAUGCAUAUGUUCUCUUAUUUAUCAAGAGAACAUCACCAGACCUGUAGCACUACAAAAUUGUUGCAUUUAGUGCACUUCUGCGUAGAAUUUGCACCAUUGUAAUUCACAAGAGGCCAUCAAUGAAGAAUUGGACUAGAUACUUAACUAUAUAGAAAUGCAUGGUUAUGGUAGAAAUAUAAUUUGGAAGAGAUUAGAUGUUAAAUGCUGUAGAAAAGAGAAGCCACAAAGUGAAGAUAGUAAAAUUUAUGUCCAAAAUAUAUUGAAUAUCUCCAUGUUUUUGAAAUAUAAGAGAAAAAUUGAGAGAUCCACAGGAAGGAGGUUGACACUUAGCAGAAGAAAUACACUAUUUAACCUUCUUAGGAAUGAUAACAAAUUGAACCCAGAUCCUUCCUGAAAAACCUAGAAUCCAAAAUAAAAUGUGAUCUAUCAGAUGGAAAUAUAUGGCCACUUGCCAACUCAUAUUUUGAUGCUAUUUUUGUCACAUCAUAAAAAAGUAUAAAAUUAGAGAAUAAUCAUUUUUAUUUAAAUAAGUGCACUUAGGGAGCAGGAAAUUAACAUAAUCUAAAAUUAUAUUGAUUUUCCUAUUGUGCAUAAUCAAAGUGGACAU
RNAcentral lists this long non-coding RNA (745 nucleotides) under Androctonus crassicauda. Lineage: Eukaryota; Metazoa; Arthropoda; Arachnida; Scorpiones; Buthidae. The record is from RNAcentral.